CCCCAGGGACCGGCUUCAGCGAGGGCUGGCAGCAGCACCCUCCCGCACCUGUCCUUCUUGGGGGCAAGUGGGGGCAGGAGCUCUCCCCUCUGCUGGCUUUGGCUCUGGUCCGGUGCACACCGGGGGCCCUGAGGCCGCAUGUAGGUGCCCUCGUGCUUACCUGCUGCUCGCGUGCACAUGUUCAGCAGAGCCUCGUGCCUCUGACGCCGGGGCACUCCCCAGGGGACUUGGGAAGGUUGGGACGGCUGCACUUGCUCUCAGUGGAAACGCUCGGCCAGCUCCCCGCAGACCCUGGCCGCCUGACACUUGUGGCCUCAAAGGUCCAGGACCUCCUGCCCAAGGGUGUAGGCCCGGCCCUGACACCCCCAUCGCUCUGGCUGCACGGAGGUGGCAGUCACCUGUCCACAGAGGACAGCACAGCUCCAGGUGGCUCCAGAGGCUCCCUGGUGACAAUCAGUCUGAUUUCAGACGUGCAGUAGCGCCCACCUCAGCUGCUCCCUUCUGUGCGAGCCUCCCACUUCCCGCCUGCCCAGGCUCAGUCUCCAGGAAGGACGAGGGCAGGCCUGUGCCUUUUCUGGGUGCUCAGCAGAGUAGGGGAGAGAACCAGGAAGCCGGGGCUCGGGGGCUCGGGGGCUCAGGGGCAGGGCUGGGCCUGAGAGGAAGGCCACUUCCUGCACCACCUCUGAGAGCUCACCUGUGAUGCUUCAGACAGCAGGUGGGGAGACCCGCCCCCCGGGGGGGGUGCCUCCAUUCCCCCGGGGGGGUCCCCAGGAAGUGCUCUGUGUCAGCCCCAGGUAAACAAAGGCCAACUGCCCUUGGGACCCUGCCUCCUGAUGCACCAUUUUCCACCCCAGGCACAAUAGCCAGAGGCUUUGGGUCCUUGCACGUGCCUGGGGUGCCCACCACUGCCUGGACUUGCCCUCUGCCCCUUCUCUACUUCCUCCCCACCCAGCUGGCAGAGGCAGGGGGAGUCAGUUCAGGAGGAAGGAUACUGGCCCCACGCUGGGGGCAGAGGGUGGGGCCUGGGCCUAAGGAGGGGGCCACGGCCUGGAGUCUGUUCUCUGCCCUAGUAGUGAACAGCCUACACCACGGGCAUCCCCACCCAUCAGACACCCCCAUCCCUCAGGGGGUGCCCAUGGUGGACUGGGGAUGCACAAAAAGACUGUAGGAUCGGGGCGCCUGGGUGGCUCAGUCAGUUAAUCUGCCUUCGGCUCAGGUCAUGAUGCUAGGGUCCUGGGACGGAGCCCCACAUCAGGCUCCCUGCUUGGUGGGGAGUCUGCUUCUCCCUCUGCCACUCCCCCUGCUUGUGCUCACUCUCUCUCUCUCUCUCAAAUAAAUAAAAUCUUUUUAAAAAAAGACUGUAGGAUCUCCUGGAUUGUGGAGAAGAGAGCCCUCUCCUGCCUGGGGAGCUCGGAGCGCAGGGCCGCAGGGUCUCUGGCCUCGGAUCAUACCUUUGACACCCAUUCACAGACACGCCCGACACCAGCACCCCCCCCAGACCAGAGGGGCCAGCCGUAGAGGAGGGGCUUCUGCCCCGGGGCCUGGCGCCUAGGAUAGGCCCCUCUGCUGCGGCAGCUGAGGCUGGGAGAUACCCGGCAAGGGAUACCUGGCGGCUGCUGGGGCGCAGCGAGGCCUGCCUCGGGAAGAUCUUAGAACCUCGCCCUGCGUAGUCGCCAGGCACAUCCCCACGGGUGAGGGGCUCCCGAUCCGCCUACCCGUCCACCGGCGCCCCAGCUCUGGGGGGUGGGGUCUGCGGGUCCAGGGGGCCCACGGGGCGGGCGUUGGGGGCCGUCCGCCGGGAGCCCCAGGGGGCGGGGCCGAGUCGAAGGGGCGGGGCGUUCUCGUCCCGCCCCCGCCCUUCCCCCCGCGCCCGCCGGCUCCCGGGUCUCUAACCUGCCGCUCAGGUUCCUCCUCGCGGUCCCGCCCCGGCCCGGCCCAGCCGCGCGUCCCUCCCGCUGCCGAGCCCGGGCCGCCCAGGCGAGGAGCGGACAGACAGGCGGACGGACGCGCGGACAAGGGGACCCACGGGCGGCGCAGGCACGGGGCCGCGAGGAGCAGGUGUGGGCCGGGCACUAGGCCCUGGACUCAGGCCACAAGGUUGCCCUUCCAUCACCAGCCACCACCAAGGACGCCAUGAGCCAGUUGGGGUCUGUGAGCUGCUGCCCAGGUGCUGCCAAUGGCAGCCUGGGCCGGUCUGACAGUGUGGCCAAGAUGAGUGCCAAGGACCUGUUUGAACAGAGGAAGAAGUACUCCAACUCCAACAUCAUCAUGCAUGAGACCUCCCAGUACCACGUCCAGCACCUGGCCACGUUCAUCAUGGACAAGAGUGAGGCCAUUGUGUCCGUGGAUGACGCCAUCCGGAAACUGGUGCAGCUGAGCUCCAAGGAGAAGGUGUGGACGCAGGAGAUGCUGCUGCAGGUCAAUGACCAGUCUCUGCGGCUGCUGGAUGUGGAGUCCCAGGAGGAACUGGAAAACUUCCCGCUGCCCACGGUGCGGCACAGCCAGACGGUGCUGAACCAGCUGCGGUACCCCUCCAUUCUGCUGCUCGUGUGCCAGGACUCGGAGCAGAGCAAACCCGACAUCCACUUCUUCCACUGCGACGAGGUGGAGGUGAGAGGGGCGGCGGCCGGGAGGGCCCCGGUGCGCCUGCGCCUGCCUGAUACCCGGUGCCCCCAGGCGGAGCUGGUGCACGAGGACGUCGAGAGCGCGCUGGCCGACUGCCGUCUAGGGAAGAAGCUGAGGCCACAGACCCUGAAGGGCCACCAGGAGAAGAUCCGGCAGCGGCAGUCCGUCCUGCCCGCUCCCAGGGGCCCAGCGCCCAUCCCCUUCCAGCGCUACGGCAGUGACUCCCCGCCCGCCAAGAAUCGAGUGGGCCCGCCGAUGCCACUCACUGAGCCAAGCUUCCGCCGUCGGGAGUCGCAGGAUGAGGAGCCCCGCGCUGUGCUGGCUCAGAAGAUAGAAAAGGAAACGCAAAUCCUCAACUGUGCCCUGGACGACAUUGAGUGGUUCGUGGCUCGGCUGCAGAAGGCGGCGGAAGCUUUCAAACAGCUGAACCAGCGCAAGAAGGGGAAGAAGAAAGGGAAGAAGGGGCCAGCAGAGGGUGUCCUUACACUGCGUGCACGGCCCCCCUCUGAGGCCCAGUUCAUCGACUGUUUUCAGAAAACCAAGCUGGCUAUCAACCUGCUGGCCAAGCUGCAGAAGCACAUUCAGAACCCCAGCGCUGCAGAACUCGUGCACUUCCUCUUUGGACCUCUAGACCUGAUCGUCAGCACCUGUGGGGGCCCAGACAUCGCACGCUCCGUGUCCAGCCCACUGCUUUCCCGCGAGGCCGUGGGCUUCCUGCGAGGCCACCUAGUCCCCAAGGAGAUGACGCUGUGGGAUUCGCUGGGGGAGACAUGGACACGCCCCCGUUCUGAGUGGCCCCAGGAGCCGCAGGUGCCCCUCUACGUGCCCAAGUUCCACAGUGGCUGGGAGCCACCCCUGGACGUGCUGCAGGAGGCUCCCUGGGAAGUGGAGGGGCUGGUGUCUGCCCCCGACGAUGAGCCGACUCCAGCGAACCGACCAUCCUUUCGAAACUCCCCCAAACACAGCCUUGUAUCUGAGCCCACAGCUCCACCUCCAGGAGACCCUCUCCCCCAAGUCAGCUCCCCGCAUGCUCACAGGGGCUACGAACCUGGGCCAGCCAUGGCCAAGUACGUCAGGAUCCUCUAUGAUUUCACAGCCCGCAACGCCAACGAGCUGUCGGUGCUCAAGGACGAGGUCCUGGAGGUGCUCGAAGAUGGCCACCAGUGGUGGAAGCUUCGCAAUCGCAGUGGCCAGGCAGGCUACGUGCCCUGCAACAUCCUGGAUGAGACUCGGCUGGAGGACGCACCCCAGGAGCGGGAUCGUGGAGAACCUGGGCAUCCUGACCGGGCCCCAGCUCUUCUCGCUCAACAAGGACGAGCUGAAGAAAGUCUGCGGGGAGGAAGGUAUCCGCGUGUACAGCCAGCUCACCGUGCAGAAGGCGGUCCUGGAGAAGCAGCAAGGUGGGUCGGAGCUGGAGGAGCUCAUAAGCAAGUUUCAUUCCAAGACCCAGAGGAGGGUGGAGGACGACAGCUAGACCUGGCCAGCUGGGCCCAGCACACCUGCGGCUGGGGGACACGGAGAUGCACCUGCGGAGAGGCCCACCCCCAGUGCAUGGAGUAUUAUUUUUGUAUGUGUGUAUAUUUUGGACCACGGACACGGGUGGUGGGUGGUGCUGGCUGGGAGCAGCUCACCUGCCUCAUGGCACGUGGCCUGUCCUCGGGCGCAGCGAUGCCUCAGCCCACACCCAUCUGCCUGUCCCAAGGCCCACCUCCCCAAAACUAGCCACCUGGAGAUGCCAGCCCCUCGUGCACCUGCCCCUGAAGCCGGGGCUGCAGCUUUUCCAGCCCCGCCCAGCCCCCUUCCUGGCUUUCAUGACACCUCUCCCUGAGGCCACAGAACCCCCAGGAGGUAGGCAGGGACUUAUCCUUUGGCCUCCUAUCCACAUGGGGGUUCCUCCUGGCACUUGUAACCCUGGCCCCAAACCUCACCCCUGUGGCUGCUACUUCUUCACGCACCUGCACCUGCACACCUCUGGAUGGGCUGUGGGCCAGAAGGGCACUGACCUCAGCACCCUGGGCUCUGAGCUAGGCCUGGCCCCCAGAUAUCGCCCACAGCGCCCACCCAGCACACUGCUCCUCAAGGGUGGCCUGGGGGGCUCCAGGCUCCCCUGGGGUGGGGUGCAUGCUGUUCUCCCUCCACCCAUUCAAGGAGCAUAGAUGGACUGGACAUGUACUCGUCCAAGUAUGGCCUUAGACACCCACACACACCCAAGGCAGAGCUCAAGAUAGGAACUUUCUGGCAGGCUUGCCCUGUGUGCCGUGGGGGUGGUGGGUGAGUCUUGGAGCACUGAACUCUGCAGGUUACACCCAGAGAUGAGAGGUGGCCGAGGUUCCAAAGCCAUGUCAUUAAACCAAUUAAGUAUCCUAGCAGCCAUGUGUCUGUCUCCUGGAGAUGGGGAUGGAGCCCACCUACGAUUGCACGCUUUGUAAGAACCACUGGGCAGAGGCCAGGCCGUGGACAUUUCAAGUGAGGCCAUGUACCCCUGACUCAGUGGGGUUUCCCAGGAGCCCCUCACCUCCACAUGUAUCCGAGUGGGCCCAGAGGAUAUUCCUGGGAGGUGAGGAGCUGAGGGGGCCCUGCUCACUCUGCGUGCUGUGGCUCUCCCAGGCCAGAUGUCCAGAAGGCCCAAAGACUGUAACCGAAGACGGGUGGCAGGCCCGGGAGCCAGGUCUGCCGGACCUCAGGGCGGGCCAGGGAGGGGCCUGAGUCUUGGCGGCAGGGCCGAAGCUUAGCCCCAGGCUGAGGGAGGUGCCCUGGAGAAGGGCCUUGACAGAUAGGGACCAGGUUGGUGGUCAGCUCUGAGGUGUCAGUACAGGAGUGGAGGGGUCCCUGAGCACACAGUGGGCUGCACUCUGCACCUCGAGGACACCAGGCCACCAGGCCAGUGCCCACCUGAGCUCAUCCAGGGCCCCACCCUUGGAGGAGGCCUCUGGCACCCUCUGCUGGCGGCUCUGCGCGCUGUGCUGUGGGCAGUCCAGGGGGCACCCUAGGACCUGGCCAGAUGGGGGCAUCUUGAUCUGCAUUUCCCCAAAGCAGCUGGGGGCCCCGCCCUGGGUAAGGGUGUCUGGAGGGCUCAUUCCUGGGGUCUCUGUGUGGUGGGCAGGGGCAACCGCAGGGAGCGCGAUGCAGAAGCUGUGCCUUGUGGGAUUGGGGUUAGAGAUCUAGAGCCGUCUGUCAGCUGGUCUGCCACGGAGCCAGGCCCAGCCCCCAGGCCUCAGGAGCCCCGACUCUAAGCUAGGACUGUCCUGUCCACCAGGACCUGGUCAGGGGGAGCUGGGCCACCUCUGGGCCUUGAGCACCAUGGCUUCCUCUCCCCAAGAGAGGAAGGUCCUCCCCAAGCCCCAGGCCAAAAGAGGAAGGUUGGUCCUCCCAGACCCAGGCAGGACCUCGCAGACAGGGAAAUAAGACCCAGAAGGAAAAGGGGAGGGAUGGGGUGCCGGCUGUCCCUCCAGAAACCUGCAGAUACUCCUCGUCCAGAACCACCAGGAGGGAUGGGCCCCUGACUGGAGCACCCCCCACCAGCCCUAUUUGGCUGAGCCCCUCCUUUGGAGCAGGGAUGGGCACCCCCAGCUCCACCUGCUCUGAAGGGGGCCUCUGCUGGCCCAGUGGUGCUCACACUAGAACAAGCUCAGAGGGACUGCUCCUGGUCAUGACCCCACCCGGCAGGGCUCUGCCUUCACCAGGACGGUGGUGCUGGCUGGGCUUUGGGGACACUACCUCCAGGCUGGGUCGCUUAUCCCUUGGGAGCCUCAGAACCUACACCUGUUCCCUUGCCCGUCUCUCCCUCCCCUCCUCCAUCCCAUCCACAGGCCACCACUGCUCUGUCCCCCUCUGUCCCCACUGUGCUCCCUGGACAGCUUGAGGAGGACCUGAUCUCCAAGACCCCAAGCCCCUGGUUCCCUAGCUCCCGGCAGCCCUAGGCCAGCUCCCAUUACCCAGGAGCUGCUGGUUCCAAGAUGCUCUGGACCCACCUGUCUGCUGGGCCUCUGGGCUCCUGGAAGAGGCUUCCCCACCACUUCCUGGGAGGCGAGAGUGGUGGGCCCAAAGUCGCAUGGCCUUUAGGGUAGGUGUGACGACAUGAGGGCAUCAUUGUCCAAGGCCACCAGAUUGGGGGAUGACUGAGCUCUACCCACUUUGGCAUCCUGGUGAUCUCAGCGUCCAUAAAAGUAGACUUGGAUGAAGAACAAGGCCCAGAGGGGCCAGGUCACCUGCCCAGAGCCCCAGAGCUGGGGAGGAGCUGGGCUCCAGUGCAGUUUGGCCUGAUCUGUGCCCCUAACCACACACCUCCUCAUCUCCCACAACAGGCUGGCCAAGCAGGGAAGAGGGAGGGUCCGGUGGUGGCAGCCCCAGUGGUGGCGGGGACUGCAGAGGGUGUGCCCAUGGGAGCGUCCCGCUGGGCAAGGGGGCUGAGCUGCCCGCCCAGCGUCCACUCUGUGCCCAGCUCUGCUGCCAGCAAACAUCCCCACAAACAAGGCCCGUCUCUGUUUUGGGCACAGGCAUGUCUUUGUGGCCCUCCCCGGACCAGCUGGCUCCAUUUGCCCCCUCUCCUACACAGAGCGGCCAGGAGGCAAAAGCAGCUUCUUCUUCUUUUUUUAAAGAUUUUAUUUAUUUGACAGAGAGAGAGCACGCACAAGUAGGGGGAACGGCAGAGGGAGAAGCAGGCUCCCCGUGGAGCAAGGAGCCCAAUGCCGGGCUCCAUCCCAGGACCCUGGGAUCAUGACCCGAGCCGAAGGCAGAUGCUUCACCAACUGAGCCACUCGGCGUCCCCAAGUGGGGUCUCUUUAAGAAGAGUCUUUUCUUUUUUUUUUUUUUAAAGAUUUUAUUUAUUUAUUUGUGAGAGAGAGAAUGAGAGAGAGCACAUGACAGGGGGGAGGGUCAGAGGGAGAAGCAGACUCCCCGCCGAGCAGGGAGCCCGACACGGGACUCGAUCCAGGGACUCCGGGAUCAUGACCUGAGCCGAAGGCAGUCGCGUAACCAACUGAGCCACCCAGGCGCCCAAGAAGAGUCUUUUCUUUGUCCUUUCUAUUUUACUUUUUCAAAAUAUGUAAUUUACCAAGAGGUUAGUGCAUAGAAGGGCCAGCACGAGGGGUAAGACAUCCCUCACACCUGUAUCAAGAGGCCAGAGAUAGAAUGGAGGCAAGAGGGGCACCUGUUUCCUGGACCAGGUGGCACUUGGCAGGGCUGACAGCAGCUAAGAGAGGACUCACGGGAGAGGGCGGCACUGAGAAGGUGGCUCUGUGUCUGGAGAAACAGAGAGACGACCCUAUGACUCUCCCCCACAAGCAUGAGAGAAUCCCAGAGGCAUUAAACCAUUCACGUGAGAGGAAAAUUAUCAGGUUCCUGGAAGAAAAUGUGGGAAACAUCUUUGUGAUGAAGCUGAGGAAGAAUUUUCUGUGCAACACUUCAAAAUGAGCUGAUGAGUUUGGCUUCAUCAAAUUGAGGAUGUAGCUCGCCAGUGGCCCACGGGCAUGGCUGACGGGGAGCCAGGGAGCCCGAGGCUUCGCCAACAGCGGGGCCCACCUGCAGCACACGCCGGCAGCAGGCCUGGGGGGUGCACCGUCCCACGGGGGCCCCAGACUCUUUCGGGGGCCCUGAGCUCUAAGCUAGUUUCCUAACAACACAGAAGUGUGUUGAAGGUUGAAUUGUGCCCCCAUCCCGCAGAUUCAUACAAGAUAGGGUCGUUAGGUUGGGCCUUAAUCCCCAUGACGGCUGUCCUUGUAAUAAGGACACUGGACAGGUGCACCCGUCACGGGAAGGUGGAGGCAGAGGUGUGAUGGGUCAUCUACAAGACGAGAAGCAUCAGCGAUGGCCUGCUACCUGCAGCAGGGGUAUGAGCAGAGAGAACCAGCCCAGCCAGCACCUGAUCCCAGACGCCGGCCUCCCGAAUUCCUGCUGCUUAAGCCUGGCAUUUGAUGGUGCUUUGUUAUGGCCAUCCCAGGGAUGAUACAAAGUCCACCCACGCUCUGGCAGGUGUCAGCGUGUCCCUCCGUGUUCAGGCUGAGUGAUGUGGUUCGGUGUGUGGAUGGACCACGUUUAUCCGCUCGUCCGUCGACGACGCUUGGGCUGCUUCCCUGUGUCGGCGGCUGUGAACGUGGGUGUGCAAGCAUCCACUCGCGUCCCUGCUUUCGGUUCUCUGGGUCAAUACCUAGAAGAGGAAUCGCUGGAACACACGGUCACUCCAUUUUCAGCUGUUUGAGAACCGCCACGCCGUUUUCCACGGCUGCUGCACCGGCUUCCUUUCCCGCCGAGUGUGCGGGAGGGUCCACCCUGCACGUGCUCCCACUCGCGGGGUUUCUGCCGUCAGUGGACAAUAGCCGUCUUCAGGGCCGCAGGCGGGUCCUCGCCGUGGCUCUGAUGUGCGUGUCCCUGAUGAGCAAGGACGUGGGCAUCUCCCCUGCUGGCUGGCCAGUUGUAGGUCUUCCCUGGGCAGACGUCGGCUCCAGUCCCCCGCCCAUCUUUGAAUCAGGUUGUUGUUUUAUUGUUGAGAUUUAGGAGUUCUCUGUAUGUUCUGGAAACUAAGCCCUUACCAGAUGCGUGACUUGCAAAUAUUUUCUUCUAUUUCAUGAGGUCUCUUCCCAGCCUGUUGAUGGUGUCCUUUGACGCACAGAAGUUUGUAAAUUUUUGGUUUGCAAUCUCAUUUCUUCUUUGGAGUUAGGGUUGAGGGGAAACAGAGGUUGUUUCCAAACAGAGGAAUAAACUUUUCUGCUGAGUUUGUAUCCUGAAAGUUUUUUUUUUUAAUUUUUUUUAAAUUUAUUUAUUCAUGAAAGUCAGAGAGAGAGGCAGAGGCAGAAGCAGAGGGCGAGAAGCAGGCUCCCCGCCUAGCAGGGAGCCCGAUGCGGGACUCGAUCCCAGAACCCUGGGAUCAUGACCUGAGCCGAAGGCAGACGCUUAACCAUCUGAGCCACCCAGGCGCCCUGUCUCCUGAAAGUUUUAAAUAAGCAGCAGAGGAGGGGGAAGAUAGGCAGCUGGUAAACUGGGGCCCAGGGUCGCCACCCCCCUUCCAUGUUGGCCCCCAGACAUCCUGUUCCAAACGAAAGUACAGUAGGGAAGGCAACUAUCCCACUCUUCUUAUUCUGCUCAUUAAUGAUCGAGAUGAGGGGAUAGAGAAGGAGGUGCCACCCAUGUCCCCAAGACCCGGGGCACAGGUCCAUCCGUUCUGAGGUAGGUUCCCUGACGAGGAGAACAAAGGUGAGAGAAAUGUCCCUACAACCUGCCGCCAGCUGAUAAAUCCCUGAGCGUGACCUUCCUCCAGGAGCUCAUGGCCGCCUCAGUGUUGAUGUUUUACUGGGCACUAAACGCAACCUUAUCCUGACGGCACCGGCCGUCCUCAGUCCUGUAAACCUCCCGUUCUGCAUACAGAAGCUCCUUGCAAACUUACGCUGUCCCCACCCCCACUCUGCCCUCUCAAAAGUGUAUCAUCAGCCACUCCUUACGACCCCGGUGCAGCCCCUCCUGCCCACGGGCCUGUCCCCGCACUUUAAUAAAACCACUUUUUUGCACCAAAGUCGUCUCAAGAAUUCUUUCUUGG
RNA transcript from Mirounga angustirostris (Northern elephant seal), 10153 nucleotides. It is a transcript of the gene named EPS8 signaling adaptor L2, with no coding region annotated. The transcript has 19 exons. The record is from RefSeq and is a predicted model, not a curated record. NCBI's taxonomy places the organism in Eukaryota, Metazoa, Chordata, Mammalia, Carnivora, Phocidae.